GCGGUACUUCUGACCGUGCAAAGGUAGCAUAAUCAUUUGCCUUAUAAUUGAAGGCUAGUAUGAAUGGUUUGACAAGAAUAUAGCUGUCUCUUUAUGAUUUAAUAGAAUUUUAUUUUUAGGUGAAGAAGCCUAAAUUUAAUUAAAAGACAAGAAGACCCUAUCGAGCUUGAAAAAACUUAAUGGAAUUAAAGUUAAUUGCACUAAAAAUCUAUCUAUUAAAUAUUUUAGUUGGGGCGACCGAGGAACAUAAAAAGCUUCCUUUAAAAAGAAACUAUUCUCACUUGAAUUGAUCCAAAACAUUUUGAUUAAAGAAAUUAGUUACCGUAGGGAUAACAGCAUUAUCUUUUUUAAGAGCUCAUAUCGAAAAAAAGGUUUGUGACCUCGAUGUUGGACCAGAAUAUCCUAAAGGUGCAGCA
RNAcentral lists this ribosomal RNA (416 nucleotides) under Reticunassa festiva. Its description in RNAcentral is "Nassarius festivus partial 16S ribosomal RNA". It matches the Rfam family "Bacterial large subunit ribosomal RNA", at positions 1933 to 2560 of the family's 2925-position model. Lineage: Eukaryota; Metazoa; Mollusca; Gastropoda; Neogastropoda; Nassariidae. The record is from RNAcentral.